This 90-nucleotide transfer RNA is filed under the name Candidatus Peregrinibacteria bacterium. Its description in RNAcentral is "tRNA-Ser". It matches the Rfam family "tRNA". From Rfam's summary of the family: Transfer RNA (tRNA) molecules are approximately 80 nucleotides in length. Their secondary structure includes four short double-helical elements and three loops (D, anti-codon, and T loops). RNAcentral also lists the same sequence under 1 other name. The record is from RNAcentral. Lineage: Bacteria; Candidatus Peregrinibacteriota.
GGAGAGGUCGCAUAGUGGCCUAGUGCGCACGCUUGGAAAGCGUGUAAACCUGAAAGGGUUUCGGGGGUUCGAAUCCCCCCCUCUCCGCCA